This 4057-nucleotide long non-coding RNA is filed under the name Homo sapiens (human). RNAcentral describes it as "HSALNT0082857". The record is from RNAcentral. Lineage: Eukaryota; Metazoa; Chordata; Mammalia; Primates; Hominidae.
AGGGAGAAAAGCCCGCCCGAGGCGCGGUGCUGACGGUGGCUGGGCUGCCGGGUGCGCUGUGGAACCGCCUCCUGCUAGAGCAGCGGGCUGGCGACGGUCCUCGCCGGGGCGGGAAGCGGCUCAGGCUGCCCUCGCUGGCCUGCGGCGGCGCGGCUGGAAGCGCGGGCCACUCGUGCGUGGGUCACUCAGGACUGCGCCUCGCGCGACUGUGUGUGCAGGAAACAAGCAGGAAAUACCCUAAAAGAGAAUGAAGCGCCAUGUUGAGGGUCGCGGACGUCGCGAGUGCUGUGGGAAUGUGGGCUGAGGUGGAGAGUUAUGGUAGCCCGUGUUACAGGCUCAGGGGUCUGAAAGAAGCCUAAUCGUGGAGGCGGCAUCUGAGGAGGGUCUUGAAGGCUGGGCAGGCAUUUGCCCGACAGAGAUGGAGGAAGCUAGUCCUGUCUGAUGGAGGAAACAGGGCGGAGGCGUGGAGGGAGCCGUGCAGCGCUGGUGUGAGGAGCAGCGAGCAGGCCAGGCCUGUAAAGCAGAGUGAGGGAACCAGGAUAGAGAAGGCAAGUCGGGGUCCUGUGGUCGCUGAAGAAUUUGAAUGAAAUCAGUAAACAGGUGAGAGGGAUCCAUCGCAAGAGCAUGGGAUGAAAGGAGGAGUAGUCCACGGUGAUUCCUCUGCAGCGGUGGGUGUUAUUAAUCGCGUAUGUGACACCAAAACCACCCCACUCAAGCUGUGGCUCUUUCCCUAAAGUAGAAAACCGAGACCAGUUGGGUUCCAAGCAUCCACGAAGAUCUUAUUAAAUUCGUGAUCCCUGGUGGCACCAUGGAGUCAGGAUUGGCUCAUCUCAAACCUGACUCAGAAACAAAACCGUCACAAUGUGCAGAGAUGAGCGUCCUUACCGCUAUCAACGUAUUUUCUGGUGUUUUCACAGUGCUGCGCUUCCUAAUCCCCAUUCCAUGGCAAUCCACAUGCCAUGAUGCCCGGAGUCAUUAACAAAGGAGACACACAGGGGCUCCUCACGUUGGCUUUCCAGGGUUUUGAUGAAAAUCUGUUUCCUCGUCUCAUACAAUGUGGCUGUACAGGAAGCAUGGUGAUGGCAUCUGCAUGGCGCCUGUGGAGGCCCCAGGGAGCUUUUACUCAUGAUGGAAGGCACAGAGGGAGUAGGCACAUCACAUGGUCCGAGGAGGAGCAAGAGAAAAUGGGAGUGGGGAUACUGCAUAGUGGAUGGAUUAGUCUGUGGUUCCUGGGAUCUUCUGUGUAUUCUGUUGAAGCUCAAUAAUCACAUUACUGCGGACCUCCAAAAUUUUACAAAGGACUGCAUAGCUUUGGAUUCACCUUGAAAACAUCCCCUCUGAACAUCAGAAGUCCACUUGGUCCCCGAACAGUGUAUUAACUUCUAACAUUUCUGACUUCCAGUCAUGGAGAUUUCAAAACCAAUUGCAUAUAGCAAUGAAGCUUUUCACUUUUAAUGGAACAUUUAGGAGAAGGGCGGCUUUUCCUAUUUUCUGUGUUAUCUUCAGCCUGUUAACUGUUGUCAGCCCUGGAGAGAAACCAUCCCUUCUCCUUAAAAACAUGAACCACAUACUAAGUUGCUUCUUGCCUCUUAAAGAUUCAGGUCACUCAGGUACAUCAGACUGAGACAGGACGCUCAGGUACAUCAUACUGAGACAGGACACUCAGGUACAUGAUACUGAGACAAACACUCAGGUACAUCAUACUGAGACAGGACGCUCAGGUACAUCACACCGAGACAGGACAUGUUGAUUGUUGGUGUGUAUUUCUCCCAAGCCACCACUCAAACCAGUGUUUGAUUUCCAUGGAGGUUGGCUGAUGGCUUUUAGCUUGAGCCCCAACAGUGUGACUUCAUACAAGGCAAUUUCUUCAGAAAUAUCAUGGAACUUCAGGGACAUUAUAUUAUUAAAUUAAAAAAACCUAAUAUGUUAAUUUUUUCAUUAAAGUUUAUGAGUUUACUGAGUUUUUCUUUUCCAAAAUAGUUAAUGAGCUUUUGAGUCAUGUUUUUUAUGAAAGGAUUGACUUUCUCAUGGCGUCCAACUCUGUAGAUAAUCAUCCGAAACAGAUUUGACUGUAUUUGUUUAACAAAAGUCUGCCUAAACCAAACUCUGCCCUGAAUUUUUUGUUUUCCACACGUAUGUGCUAAAUCUGUGUAAUUUGGUAGUUUGUCUCUCCAGAACCACUGUUGGUCUUGUGUCACUAAUCAGCAGAGGCAGCAGUCUGACGGGUCCACAGAGACAAGGGAGGCAGCGGGAGGAAUGCAGUGGCCAGGCAGGUGAGGGACCUCAGGACCAGCAGCUCAGCCGCAUCCUUGCAUGCAGUGGCCAGGCAGGUGAGGGACCUCAGGACCAGCAGCUCAGCCGCAUCCUUGCAUGCAGUGGCCAGGCAGGUGAGGGACCUCAGGACCAGCAGCUCAGCCGCAUCCUUGCAUGCAGUGGCCAGGCAGGUGAGGGACCUCAGGACCAGCAGCUCAGCCGCAUCCUUGCAUGCAGUGGCCAGGCAGGUGAGGGACCUCAGGACCAGCAGCUCAGCCGCAUCCUUGCAUGCAGUGGCCAGGCAGGUGAGGGACCUCAGGACCAGCAGCUCAGCCGCAUCCUUGCAUGCAGUGGCCAGGCAGGUGAGGGACCUCAGGACCAGCAGCUCAGCCGCAUCCUUGCAUGCAGUGGCCAGGCAGUUGAGGCACCUCAGGACCAGCAGCUCAGCUGCAUCCUUCUCUUUUCCCAAGGUCGCACUGAGCAAGUCAGGAUGGUGAAGAAAGUCUCCAUCUCCAAACUGAACACAGGAUUUGUUGAGGUGGCCUCCUGGAGCCUAAGUGUGUUUGGGGUGAUAUCUACAAACUUCCAUCACUGCUUCACUGGUGGCCUUUGGAGAAUCACCAUUUUUUUUCGGUCUUGUUCUGUGGGAUAUAUUCUGAAAAAAUAGGACAAAUGCUAAAAUAGCGAUGUCAAAUUUAAGUUUUUCAUAGAAAUAGCAUAGUAGGGAACUAUACUCAUUUUUAUAAGGAAUACAUUUAAUCGUUACUCUUUCCCUUCCUUUUUUCUUUCCUUAAGAAAUAUUGAACGUUGAUUAUGUACAAAGAAUAGAAUAUGAUGGGAAACAAUACAAGUACCUUAUUACAUAUCGCAUAGUAUAAAUCUUUAAAUUGUGACUAUAAAUUAAACAGAGCCCCUUGAUGUCAUGGCUCAUGCCUGUAAUCCCAGCACUUUGGGAGGCCAAGGCAGGUGGAUCACUUGAGCCCAGGAAUUCAGGACUAGCCUGGGCAACAUGGCAAAACCCUGUCUCUACAAAAUGUACAAAAAUUAGCCAGGCAUGAUGGCUCACGGCUUCAGUCCCAGCUACGUGGGAGGCUGAGGAAGGAGGAUCACUUGAGCCCUGGAGAUUGAGGCUGCAGUGAGCCAUGACUGUGCCACUGCACUCCAGCCUGGGCAACAGAGUGAGACCUGUCUCAAUCAAUCAAUCAAUCAAUCAAUCAAUAAAACAGAGCAACUCAGCAAUAAUUAUAUAUUUAAUUAUUCUAAGUAUUAUAUUAUGUUUAAUAAUAUAAUUAUAUUUAAAUAUUAUAUAUUAUGUAACACAUCAAAGUGUAUCAUAUGAAGUUUUUUGUCUCCAUCAGUCUCUCUUAUUUUGAUAGUAAUGAUAAAACACUGGCCCAACUUAAUCCUCAGAAUGUGUUUAUUGAAUUAAAUGGUAGCCAUGGAAUUCAGAAGAACUUAUUUGAAGAGCUUUAAAAGAGAAAUAACACUUAUGAUUUUCCCUAUUACAAAAGUAUUUGUUCAUAGUAGAAAAUUGGAAAAUUCUGGGAAACAUAAGGAAUAAAAGAACAAUCAUGCCUAAUUCUAUCAUUCAGAGAUAGCAAUUACUACUAAUAUUUUGGCAUAUUUUCUCUAGCCUGUGUGUGUGUGUGUGUGUGUGUGUGUGUGUGUGUAUCUGUGUGUAUGUGUGUGUGUACACAAAGAAAAAGCCAGAGGAAAUGCCAUUUUUUUAUACAAAUAUAAAACAAAAAUGAGAUCUCACAAUAUACAUUGCUUUUAGACAUAUUCUUAAAAUUUAUAUCAUGAG